This is a long non-coding RNA of Orcinus orca (killer whale), 7494 nucleotides long. RefSeq lists it as uncharacterized. NCBI's taxonomy places the organism in Eukaryota, Metazoa, Chordata, Mammalia, Artiodactyla, Delphinidae. The record is from RefSeq and is a predicted model, not a curated record. The transcript has 2 exons.
CCUCCAGUUCUACACCCUUCGUUUCCAUCAGAGCCCGUCAUUUCCCUCCCUGCCCACCGGAAGCUCCCUUGGUCUCUGCUGUAGGAUGUCCUGUUUUCCUCUCUGCAUCCCCCGCCACUGAAUCGUGGGCACCGUGAAGCUUUCUCCCAACUCCUGCUGCCCUAGAGAAAUGGAAGAGUAGGUAGAGGUGGGAAAUGGAAAAACCAAAGCAGACACAGAGGAGAGAGGCAUUGGCGGACUCAAAGAAGAAAGAGAAGCAACAGAAGGCAGAAUCAAGAGGCCAGACAGACAAAAGGAGAGGAACCAGUGUCUUCUGUAAGUGUUCAUGGGGGUUUAUGGACACUAAGCAGUAAAGGCAAACUUCCAGAAGUUGUUUGCCCACCAUGGCAAUGAGAAGACUGUGGCUAUCAUUAGGUCCCCUUCAGAAUGUCUGGAGGUGAAUUUAAAUCGUCAACAUUGUUUCCAAAAGUUGCAUUUGCUGGGACUCCUCUAGUUUUGCCUAGAGUUGGGUAUACCAGUCUUCCAUGAACCCCUGCUGUUCCAGGAACCGUGUGUCUGUGGAUUGGGUUAGCCCUGGUCCUCAGAGAGCUGCCUGGAAGAUGCAAAGCUGAUGACCCAGCUCCAUCACACCUAACGCUUCUGCUCAGAUUCUCCAGGGAGCCCUCCAGAGGCAGCGUGAUGGAAGCCACCAGGUUCUGCAGUGAACUAGACUGGUUUGGGGCCUUGCCCCAGGAAGAUCAGCCCUCACUCUGCAAAAGACCAAUGGUGGGGGUGAGUUGGGAGAAUUGUAGGAAAAACAAGGGCAAGAAGGAAAGCUUGCUUUUCUGGGACUGUCCUUGCUCAGUGUUUGGAAGAGUCUGAAAUCCACAAAAAGCAGUAAGGCUCACAACAGUCCUGACUGUGGCUGGUUGAGGGUCAGAGCAGUUGCUUUAAAUUCAUGGCUGCCUCUUUUUCUCUCCUGGGUCUCUAUUUUUUUUUUUUUUUUCUGGUGUUGUUUGCUUUCACGUUCUUCUUUUUUUUCAGAGUAUUCAUAUCUUCCCCCCUCUUCUUUUUCAUUCUCAAUUCUCCUUCCCACCCCACUCUGCCUUCUUAGCAUAAUUUUUCUUUUGGCUUUCCUUGUUCUACAUCUGGAUUCCCGGAUGGUUUAUUUUGUCUCUUUCCUGAAAUUUCCCUCCUCUCCCAUUUCUUAUAGUUUGUUGUUGUUGUUGUUCCUUUUCCUUCGGCUUCAGUUCUGUCCACUAAAGCUUUCCUUGGGCCACACAGGCUUUUAAUUCUUGUUCAUCUGUUUAAGCAGUGCUGGCAAGAAGCAGGCCACAGCCGGCAGGCAGAGCCACGGUGGCAGAAGAGGACCCGGGCGUCUGAAGAUUCUCCCCCAGCCCCGGGGUCCUUGGAAGAGGGGCUUCCUUCUGGAGAGUGGGCUGGGACAGUGCUGUUCUCCCUCUGUGCGGCUUGACGUCGUCUGCCAGGCCUGGGCUGAAGGUUGGGGGCAGAUGGUGUUUCCUCCACGGUGUGUGGGCCUGGGCCCCAUUGCUCAGGGAGGCGAUGGAAUCAGCCCUUCUCAGUGGACAGGUGGAGGACUCAUCAGGUUCCACCCAGAAAGGCUGAGGCUCAGGGGAGGUGCCCCAGGGGGAAUGUAUCACUUGCCAAGCUCUGUGCUGUAGGUGGGAGGCCUUGCAGCAUGGGGGCUGCCUCUGGGGGAAGUCUGGGGAUCCUUUUUGAUCCUCGGUCUCUGGCCGAAGCCAGCCUGGGCAUCUGGAGCUGUCUGCUGGGGAGACUGAGGCAGUUUUCCGGUGGAAGGUCCUUCCUUCCCAACAGCCCCCACCCCUGGCCAGUGGGCGUUUUGAGGGCCCAGGAAGAAUGCAAGAAGAGGCUGGUAGCUGCGAGGUGUCUCAAAGGCUCCUGGCCACUGGGGGCGGCACAGACCCCAUCUGCGGGAGGCCCUGAGGGUCAGGUCUGGUGCCGAUAGAAGCAGGUGGUACUUCCUGACGGGUGCGGUGGCGGAGAAAUCCUAGAAGUUGCAGCCACACCCCUCCUUGUCUGGCGUGGCGUGGGAGGCGGUGGGAGCAGCCUGCCCUGCUGCCCAGCUGUCUGAGGCAAAUCAACUGCAGUCCAUCUGGCUGUACUCCGCGGCCCAGGCUGGCUUCCCACCCGGGGCCGUCAAUGCCAUUGGGUGCUGGCUGAGUCCUUAGCGGGCCCAGCUGAGGGGCGGAUGUGUCACUGCUCCGUCAGGGGCACACCUGCAGCUGAGUUGCACCCUGGGGUGGAGGGGCCCAAGAGCGCCAGGUGGACGCCCAUUGGGCUGCGCUGCCCUUGCCCAGGCCCUGUGGUGAUGGUGGCCACGUGCUUCUCUGGAAGCACCAUCAAGUUCCCCUCGCCUUCUCCACACCCUGCCACCUUGCCGAGUCCCGUCCACUUCCUCCUCCUUCAUCCAUGCACAGCCUUCGGGGCCACUUUACAAAGGACUGUUGAUUAUAUCAAAGCUUUGCUUAUUUUAUAUUUUGCUUAUCAUUUCCUUAUGUUUUCUAAGCCUCUAGUCCUAGAGUCCAACUCUUGGGUCUAGCACCCCUCAAGACCCUAGAACCAGAGCCCCAGGAGCCCCCAGGCCCUGAUUCCUGGGCCCCGUAGAAUUGGUUUAUCUCUGGUUCCAGGCAGAGCCUCCCUCCUUCCCCACAUAGAGGGCCAUCCUAGACAGGAGGGAUGAUUAGGGGAUAGAUGAUGGAUUUUCUUCUAAGUGCUCCCUUCAAUUCUAGAGGAGAGCUGGGGGCGAGGACCCGGCCUCUCUGAUGUAGGAUUAGGAUCCGGCAGCCUCUUGCCCUUCCCAGCGGAGCCCAAAGCACGUGCUCCUUCAGUCUGCGGUCUCAGUGCCGCCUCGUUCCUGCCACCUCUCUCUGCCUUCCCCCUUCGCACGCACCACGCUGUAUAAAUAUUUACACCCCCGGGCUGGCAGGAAUCUUUCUCCAGCUGCUUCCCUGGUCUCUGGGAGAGCUUGUUCUCUUACUCAACAGCUGCAGCAGAUCUGGUUGCCUUUGGUCAGACAAGGGCAGGCCCUGGUUUGGGGGCCUGCGGUCCCCCUCUGGGGUGGAGGGUGCAGUUGGCAGGAGAAACUCAACUCUAAAGAGGUCACGGGGUGAUGGCAAAGACCCAUGCUCUCCUCUGCUGGCUGCCUGUGCGGCGACCCUCCGAGAGUUGUCUGAUCCCUGCUCCGGCUGGGACGGUGGGUCCUGCUUCUGAAAGGGACAGCUCCUCAGGGUGGGGUCUGCGCCUCUCUGGGCUGGGUUUUGCUGCAUAGGGCUGGAGGAUACUUUCAAAGCAAGCUGGCUGGUGCUAGGACAAAAUAGGAACUUAGUGUACCCACGGGCACUUUACAGUUUACAAGUAUGUGCUAUACCCUCGAUCCUCCCUGAAGCAGAUCCCCCGGUUUAGAGCUGGAGAAUCUUCAUAUUGGGCUUCUUCUCCCCAGCUCCUGCCCCGGGCCAUCCUCCCCCCCACCAACCUACCCGGGGGCUGGGGAGUGGAGAGGAUAGAUGCCUCUUUCCCCACCUUCCUUGGCGACCCAGGAAGUGGGAGUUUGCCAAAGAAUCAAGCUGCCAUUUGUUGGGUUCCCACCGGCCAGGCACUGUGUGAGGUGCUUCCCCAUAUUCUCAUGCAAUUAUUCAAGUCUUAAGCCCAGCAGAUUUUUUAGCUUCCUUGUGUGUGUUUCCUGUUCCUGCCCUCAAGACAGCUGUGGCCGCGUAGCAGUGAGCUCCCAGACACAGGGCCCUGCCUUCUCUGGUGCUUUCGGGUUCCGUGGAACCUUCAGGGGCCAGCUGGUAGACACUAGUCUCACCUAACCUGCAGUGGGUGCAGGUCACCUGCUGCUGCCUCCUCUCCCGUGCCUCAGUUUCUCCCAUGUCUGUGGGAGGUAAUUAACCUGUGCUCCAUAGAUAAUUCUAAAUGCAGUGCAGGGACAGGGUGGUGUCAUUUAACUCCUUUUUCUGUGUGGGGGUGUUGUGACAGAAGAGAGUGUUCAGGUAUCAGGUACUAUGAGGCUUGUGUGUUUGGUGCUUGGGAAGCCUGAGGAGAAGGAAGACAGGGAUAAAAAGGCCUGGAUUUCACCAGGUAGUGGAGCCACUGGGGGUGCAAAUGGGUGGGGGGGUCCUGAUGGGGGCCCGGGACAGAGGCCCUAGUCUCUUCCUACACUCAUACUUGUGCGAGAAAGUAGACACGUAGAUUCAAUCUGUCUCUCUCUCUGAGCUCAGACUCUUUCUGGGCCUGGGAGGAAGGCUGCUGUCAAAAAGUAAAAGGCCUGAAAAAAAAAAAAAAAAAGUAAAAGGCCUGGCCCAGUGCUUGGUGCUCAGUGGGUAGAGGGCCAUCCCAAGGUGAGGCAGGGGAGGGGUAGGCUGGGUCUGGCCUGCCAGGGAAUGUAUAGAGAGGAAGGUAGGAAACCACAGCUCAGAGACGUGCUGCUGGGAGAUAUUCCUGUUGCUGCCUGCCUCCCCACCCCCAAAAGGUAAAAGAAAACCCAAAUAAAAGUCUGACCCGGCAGAUAUUAAUACUCCAGAGCCAGGGCUGGUGUGCAAGCAGCCGCCCCCCGCUUCCCCCUUCUGUUUCUAUAAGCGGCUGAAAUAAAUUUAGUGAAACAACCCCACCCGUCUGAGGGCCUAAGAUUUCAGAACAGUGGGACUCUUUACCCUGAAAGCCCCUGUUUUUCAGAGCUGAGAGCUUUUUGUUUAAAUUCCCUUUGAGAAUGGAAUGCUCUUGAUCUAAAAUAAUUAUUUUACAGCAGUCAUCUAUUCCUCAUAGAUAAAUGCUUUGACACAGUAUGGCUUGCUAGAAAGCCGAUCUACACAUGCUGUACAGCUUAAAAUAGUCAACUCUAUGGGGCCACUGCCCGGUUGGACCCGUUUGGAUAUUUAUUGUAACAUUAUUCUUUGCGAUGCCUGUGUGUGUUCAGCUAGUCCCCUCUUUUGUCUGUCACAGGACGGUGGUUAUUGCUGGCUAAGUUGCCAAAGCAGAGAAUUACUUAUUUAGGGCCUACUGUGUGCUAGGCACUGUGCCGGUCGAGUUGAGAGCAGAAAGAGCCUGCUCCUGGAGCAGACAUGCUGGGGGGGAAGAGAGAUGUCGAAAAGUAAAAUGACUACAAAAAACUGGCAACUAAUAUCAUACUUAAUAGUGAAAGAUCGAAUGCUUUCCCUUAAGAUUGGGGUCAAGGUGAGCGUGUCCAAUCUCACCACACCUAUUUAACAUCAUAGGGGAAGUCCUAGAGAGGGCAAUAUGGCAAGAAAAGAAAUAUAAUGCAUAUGGUUGGAAAGGAAGAAGUCAAACCAUUCCUAUUCACAGACAACAUGAUUUUCUAUAGUAAAAAAAUAAAAAAACAAAACAAAGCUCAAGGAAUCUACCAAAAAACCUUCUUAAAACUAAAGUGACUUUUGUAAGAUCACAGGAUGCAAGGUCAAUACACAAAAAUCAACUGUAUUUUUAUAAACUAAUAAUGAGAAACUGAAAACUGAAAUAAAAAAUUAAAAUACAGUUGGCCCGUGAACAACACUGGCUUGAACUGCACAGGUCCACUUAUUUUUUUGCAGUAGUAAAUACUACAGUACCACGUGAUCCGAGGUUGGUUGACUCUGCAGAUGUAGAAACAUGGAUAUGAGGAACUGCUCAUAUUCCAGAGGGCCAACUAUAAGUUAUACGUGGAUUUUUGACUGUGAGGAAGGUUGGUGCCCCUGGCCCCUGCAUUGUUCAAGGCCCAACUCUAGUUCCAAAAAAAAAAGGGAAAUAUUAGGUAUAAAUCUAACAAAAUGUAUAUAAGAUCUGUGUGCUAAAAACUACAAAGCACUUAUUAAAGAAAUCAGAGAAGACCUAAAUAAAUAGACAUAUCAUGUUCACGGAUUAAAAGACACAAUAGUAAAGAAGUAAAUAUGUACUUCUUCCUGAAUUGAUCUAUGGACUUAAUGCAAUUCCAAUAAAAACCCCAGUAGGAUUUUUUUGUGGUUAUAGACAAGCUGAAUCUGAAAUUUAUAUGAAAAGGCAAAAGAACUAGAAUAGCUAAAACAAUUUUGAACAUUAAGAAUAAAGUUGGAGGAAUUAUACCACCUGAUUUUAAGACUUACUGUAAAAUUAUAAUAAUCAAGACAGUGUGGUAUUGGCGAAGGAAUGGACACACAGAUCAACAGAAGAGAAUAAAGAGACUCACACAAAUAUGGCCAACUGAAUUUUGGAUAGGUACAAAAGCAAUUCAAUAGAAAAAUGGUACUCUUUUCAAUAAACAGUGUUGGGAUUAGACUUCCAUAGGCAAAAAAAAUUUAACUUCAACCUAAACCGUGUUAUAUAAAAACUAACUCCAAAUGAAUCUAACAUAAAACUAUAGAAAAUCUUAAUGACCUAAGGUUAGGCAAGGAGUCCUUAGAUGUGUCACCAAAAGCAUGAUGCAUAAAAGAUAAAACUGAUAAGUUAGACCUCAUCAAAAUUUAAAAACUUUUGCUCUGUGAAAGAUACUUUGUUCAGAGAACGAGAAGAUAAGGUACAGACUGGAGAAAAUAUUUGCAAACCACUUAUUCAACAAGAGCCUGUAUCCAGAAUAUAUAAAGAACUCUCAAAACUCAACAGUAAGAAAACAAACAACCCAAUUAAAAAGUGGGCAAAAGACUUGAACAGACAUUUAACCAAAGAGGACAUACAGGUGGCAAAUAAGCACAUGAAAAGAGUUGUUCAAUAUCAUUACCUGUUAGACAAAUGCAAAUGAAAACCACAAUGAGAUACCACUACACACCUGUUAGAGUGGACAAAAGAAAAAAUACUGACAAUUAAAAGUGCUGCUAAGGAUUCAGAGCAACUGGAGACUCUCAUAUAUAGUUGUGGGAGAUGCAAAAUGGUAUAUCCACUCUCAAAUAAGGUUUGGCAGUUUUAAAAAAAAUAAACCUUAACAUACACUUAGCAUAUGACCGAGCAAUCCCAUUCCUACUUAUUUAAUAAGAACUUACGUUCACACAAAAAUCUAUACACAAGUGUUUACUGCAGCUCUAUUCACAAUGGCCAAAAACAGGAACUAAUCCAGUGACCCUUAACAGGUGAAUAAACAAAUGGUGGUAUACCCAUACAGUGAAAUACUGUUCCUCAAUUAAAAGGAAUGAACUAUUGAUACAUGCAACUGCAUGGAUAAAUCGCAAAGGCAUUAUGCUCUGUGAAAUCAUGUAGACUGUAUGAGUUCAGUUAUAUGGCAUUCUGGAAAAGACAAAAUGACAGUAUAGGGAACAGAUCAGUGGUUUGCCAGAGUAAGGGAUGGGAGGGUCUGACCACAAAGGGAGAGUGUAAGGGAGUUGUUUUUUUUUUUUUGGCGGGGGGUGGUGAUAGAAGUGUUCUGUUUCCUGAUUGAAGUGGUGGUUACAUAAAUCUAUUCACAUGUUUAAAUUCAUAGAACUGUACACCAAAUAAAGGCCAAUUUUACUGUUUGUUAAAUAGUUUAAAAAAAACCUCACAAAUUGAAAUAACUACUUGGAAGGAAAUGAAGAUUCC